This 530-nucleotide long non-coding RNA is filed under the name Sinocyclocheilus anshuiensis. RNAcentral describes it as "lncRNA (ENSSANG00000024600.1)". The record is from RNAcentral. Lineage: Eukaryota; Metazoa; Chordata; Actinopteri; Cypriniformes; Cyprinidae.
GCCGGGCUCAACUGACUGUGAGCGCCCGCCUCUGGAGGACAUGCGCCGGGGACUCGACACGUGAUCCGCUCGCCACAAUCCAGUAUGGCGGAAUCCGUCGGUGAGUGGAUCCGUGGUUGGCGCGCUCUCCAACGGGAAUAAAGUCCGGAGCGUUGCAUCCGAUCGCGGCGGAGCUGCGGAGAGUUCAGUCUUAUCGAGCAAAGAGGAACCGACACACAGAGCUGGAUUACGGCCAGAGGGGGCACUAUGAGCCUCUGAGAUUGUUCUUUCUUUCCUGUCCCGUGCCUCUUUUGACUCGUCUUCCCAUUCAGCAGUGGAUGGUGACCAGCCAACAAGCCCCAGAGGAGCCGUGAGGUGUUUCUCACAUCCUCAUCUGCCAGGACACACUCCUCUUAUUAUCAACCCAGUCACUUCAGAGAAAGCCGCCACUGUCGCCACAAUGAGUUCCCACAGCCGCCCAGGAAUAGCACGCGAUUGGGCUUCGGGGGUUGAGAAUUAGCCUUGAGAUGCCAGAAAAGGCUUUUGAGCAG